This 21-nucleotide non-coding RNA is filed under the name Caenorhabditis elegans. Lineage: Eukaryota; Metazoa; Nematoda; Chromadorea; Rhabditida; Rhabditidae. The record is from RNAcentral.
UAAUUUAAUGGUAUUGUAAUA